GCCAGGCGUGGUGGUACAUGCCUGUAAUCCCAGUGGCUCAGGAGGCUGAGGCAGGAGGAUCGUGAGUUCAAACCCAGUCUCAGCAAAAGCAAGGUGCUAAGCUACUCAGUGAGACCCUGUCUCUA
Molecule: small RNA, 125 nt
Filed under: Marmota monax (woodchuck)
Lineage: Eukaryota; Metazoa; Chordata; Mammalia; Rodentia; Sciuridae
Source: RNAcentral